UACAGAGGAGCCAAGCGUUGUCCGGAUUGACUGGGCGUAAAGCGCGCGCAGGCGGUGGCGUGAGCCCGGCGUGAAAAGCCCCCCAGCUCAACUGGGGGGAGGCCGUCGGAGACCGCGGCACUUGAGGCCGGUAGGGGAGAGCGGAAUUCCCGGUGUAGUGGUGGAAUGCGUAGAUAUCGGGGAAGAACACCGGUGGCGAG
This 200-nucleotide ribosomal RNA is filed under the name uncultured bacterium. RNAcentral's name for it is "partial 16S ribosomal RNA". It matches the Rfam family "Bacterial small subunit ribosomal RNA", at positions 524 to 719 of the family's 1533-position model. The record is from RNAcentral.